Molecule: long non-coding RNA, 4181 nt
Organism: Acinonyx jubatus (cheetah)
Lineage: Eukaryota; Metazoa; Chordata; Mammalia; Carnivora; Felidae
Exons: 2
Source: RefSeq, a predicted model, not a curated record
CACAGACCGUGAGAUCACGACCUGAGCCUAAGUCCGAUGCCUAACCGACUGAGCCAUCCAGGCGCCCCUCUUGUGCUCUCUUACAGGGUCAUUCCUGUUAGAGAACAGGUCAUUCCUGUCGGAUAAAAAUCCCUGUAAGCCUGGUGUUUUAGUCAAGGUGCACUUCUGGCUCGUUGAGUUUGGUAACGUGUUUUCAACACCGAUCCUAUCUCAGCUCUAGCCUGCAUUAGAGAGGACCAGUGACUCACACAGAGAUAUAGACAGCCAUCUCUGUAAGGAGCUGUGGGCUUUGUAAAGAGGGCGGGGCAUUUCCCUCCCGUUGCCAUGGAGAGAGGUGUGGCACACUAAGGGGGAGGUUCUCUACUCUGGAGACUGGGGUCCUGGCUCCAGCGGCAACAAUUCCACUCCCCAGGCAGAUACCUGCUGAGCUGCCUCCAGCUGGGCAGAGUGGAGCACAGUGAAGACAAGCGGGUGGGGGGGGGGGGUUGUAAAUAUAGAAACAGGUGCCUGCUUCCCACAUAGAGAAUUUGGUAGCUGGGAGGUUGCUAAAGCAGCCCAUGAAAAUGAGGCAAGGAGACAGGUGUCAGUAGUGGCAAGCUCAGCUUCCAUUUGGCACAGAAAAAAAAAAAAUGUGUGUCCUCCUUGAGUCCAGAACACUGGACAGGUAGAGAGUUUGAGCAGUUACUGCUAGUUCUUUGCCUGAGAAGUAGAACUUUUGGGGUGAGAUGGCCCAGGCAGUGGACCCAGACUGUGAUAUGCAUGGUGCAUGCUGAUGUAGGAGAUUGUGUGUGUGUGUGUGUGUGUGUGUGUGUGUGUGUGUGUGUGUGCGCACAUGCACAAAUGGGGUUGGGGAGAUGGCUCAUAAAAGGCCGGUCAAAUGGUUGUUCAACCAUAGUAGGGCACUAGGCGUGGGCAGUCCCCUGUGGGGCUCUGAAGAAUCUACAAAUGUAAGUUUCCCAUGAAAGUUCCAGCACGUGACUGCCUCACACAGCCAACUUUGACAGCCAAGAGACAAUUGCAAACAGCACAAGCUGAUGUAGAAAGAUAGCCCCCACUCCACUGAUGUCUUUCUCCUUGUGUUGACCCUAGAGGAGCAACGAGCAGCCGGGUGAUAGUGAGGAGCAGUGAGCAAAAGGAAAGGUCACUGCAGGUCACACAAGAUGGGGCAGAAGGAGAGAAGCUUUGAAUUGGCGGAGAUUGAAAUUUUGAUAUGAGAUCACUAGACCUUUAAUAAAUGAAGGAAUCGUGGAGCGCCUGGGUAGCUCAGUCGGUUCAGCAUCCAACUUCGGCUCAGGUCAUGAUGUCACAGUUAGCGAGUUUAAAGCCCCACGUCUGGCUCUGCACUGACAGCUUGGAGCCUGCUUCAGAUUCUGUGUCUCGCUCCUCUCUCUCUGCCCCUCCCCAACUCAUGCUCUGUCUGUCUCUCUCUCUCAAAAAUAAAUAAACAUUAAAAAAAAAUUUUACAAAUGAAUGAAUCCUAAUUUCCACAAAUAAGACUGUUCCUACAAAUGAAAGUGAUUGAAAAUCUGCAAGGUCUUCCUGAGAAUCUGUCUAGCCAUGGGAAGGGAGAGUCAACAAAAUAUGCCACACAUAGUGAUGAGAGAAACACGAAACCAUAUCCUUAAAUCCCUGUCAUUCAAUAAGCCAGUUUCCAACCCCAUAGAGUACCGAUGAGAAUACCCCAUAGAACAUUUGAUGAGAUUCUAAAAUGAAUCCUUUGCAAAUAAGGACGCCUCUUCCCUUACCAUCUUCUGUAUCUUAUAACAAGCUUGUUUGGGUUUUUCUUGUCUAAAACCGAAGUCUCUGUAGCCAAAAAAAUCAAAAUCAUCCUCUUCUAAGCUUUACUUGCAAACAUUGCUUCUUACAGUUGAAUUAAAGCAAAUUGUCUUCAUUAAUUAGUGUCAAAGGUGAAUUUAUUCUGGAGGUUUGUUUUGAGUCAUGAGACAUAAUGCAUUUAAAACGCUAUUUCGAUUUUGAGCUUCAAUCAUGGUGAUUUCAAGUGAGGUUAUUAAAUCACUGUAACUUUUGAAGAAAACAUGAAAAAAUUAACCUCACGUCUCUUAGCUUGCUUCCUUUAUUAUGUUAGAGUCACUUGUGCCUGCUAGCAUUUCCAGUUUGGGGAAGGCAGGCUCUAGGUUCGGCUUAUCCUCAUGAUGGCGUUUCCUUUUGAAGGGUGUUGGCGGUGGAGAAAGCAGGACUGAAGGUGAGCCUCACAGUGGGACACCUUCUGUUGGCUCCCUCAGAAACUUCACAGGGAGUGUGUCAUAGGGAGGCUGCUCAGGCGGCCAUAACCAAAGACCACAGACCAGAUGGCUUAAACAAUAGACAUUUAUUUCCUCACAGUUCUGCAGUCUGGGAGUCCAAGAUCAAGGUGCCGUCAGGGUUGGUUUCUGGUGAUGGUAUCCUUCUUGGCUUGUACAUGGCCACCUUCUUGCUGUGUCCUCACAUGGCCUCUUCUCUGUACAAGGGGAGAGAGAGAGAGAGAGAGAGCGAGAGCGAGCUCUGAGCUCUCUUCCUCUUCUUAUAAGGACACUAGCAUUACUGAAUCAGGGCUCCGCCCUGUGACCUCAUUUAACCUUAAUUACCUCCCUAAAGGCCCUGUCACCAAAUAGUCCCAUUGAGGAUUAGGGCUUCAAUCUAUGAAUUCAAAAUAUGAAAAGACGUAUUUCAGUCCCUAACAGGGAGGAAGGAAGAAAUUAUUUUAAAGUUUUCUUAAAGUUGACAUUUCUGAAAAAAACAUAUUUAAUUUCCAAAUUUAGAAGACUUUUAGAGCCAAUUGCCUGCAGAAUUUCUUUCACAAGUGACUGAAACCCAGCUCAAAUAAGCCAAAGCAAAACUGGACAUCUUUUGGCUCACACAGCAGAUGGUAGGGGGUCAAAUACGUUAGCCACAGCUGGAUCCAGGGGUUCACAUCAUCAGGUCUCUCUGUCCCCUUUCCCGCUGUGUUUGGCUUCUUCUUCAGAUGGGUCCUCUCCCUUGGUGGCAUUGAUGACUUGGGGCUCCAGGGUGACCUGGUUCUGGAUUGGCAUUUGCGACUCUAACAGGAGAGACACUCUCUCCCAAGGGUCAACUCUGAUUGCCCCUGUGUGCGGUGGGGAUACUUUCUGGCGGCCUGGACGCUUGCAGUUAUGGGCUGGCAGCCCCAGCAGAUGGGGAAGGACCUACUCUCAAACAGAAGACUCUGGGCAGAUUGAACUUUAAGAUGUGCCACAGUCUUCCCCUUCUAAGUUCCUGAGAUGAGACCAUUUCUUUGUACUUUGUAACUUCUAUAAUUUUAUAAGUAAUGGUUCAGAGAAGGUUCAAGUUCAUCUUUAUCACACUCGGAGAGCUUCUAUUUUAAGGUCAUUAGGGUCUUUUGGAAAGCCGGUUGGUACCAUGUUGACCUUUGCAGGUAUCUCUCUGCAGACCCUUCAGGCCGCCUGACCUUGUCACCAUCGGCAGAUUUGGCUGUGGCUUCUUUGCUAUGCGCAGGCUCUCUACAGAUGACCUUAAUCUCUGCCCUGCUCCUCAAACUUUCCCUUCUCUGCUCCCUUCUGCACACCCAGUCAGCCCACACCUGUGGGUUCGGGUGUCUGAUGCCUCAUCCAAAAUUCUCGGGCUGAGAAUAUUUCCAAUUUUAGAAGGACCACGCUGUACGUAUACUGGAUACUGACAUUCCCAGCAGGGUCUGGGGUAGCAGCCAGAAACCCAGCUCCUUAACACUUCUGCAGGGCAACAAUGAAUGUUGACACUAGGUGGGAAUAAAGGAGGAAGUCUAUAGUGGCCUUACAUCAGUCAGGUCAGGUCAGGCAUGGUCACCAAGUAAGUUACAAGAGAUUUGUUUUCAGGGCUCUUUGUAUUUCAGAUUUGUGAAUAAGGGAUCCUGGACCAAUACUGGCUUGUGUAUGGUAGGUGCUCAUGAAUGCUUUGUUGAGUCUCACUCACUAUGACUUGUAUCUGUGAAAUUUAAAACUUAAGAAACAUUUAUGGGGCACCUGGGUGGCUCAGUCAGUUAAGGGUCUGACUUCAGCUCAGGUCAUAAUCUUGCAGUUAGUGAGUUCGAGCUCCUCAUCAGGCUUUGUGCUGACAGCUCAGAGCCUGGAACCUGCUUCAGGUUCUGUGUCUCCCUCUCUCUCUGCUCUUCCCCCACUUUCUCUCUCUCUCUCUCUCUCUCUCUCUCUCUCUCUCUCUCUCCCUCCCUC